RNAcentral lists this unclassified non-coding RNA (160 nucleotides) under uncultured fungus. Its description in RNAcentral is "sequence contains ITS1, 5.8S rRNA gene". The record is from RNAcentral. Lineage: Eukaryota; Fungi.
CAGGCUGUCGAAAGACAUCCCUUUCAACCCAUUGUGAACUUUACCGUCUUGUUGCCUCGGCAGGCGACCUCAGGGGAGGUCUUUGCCAUUUUUUGGUGCCUGUCGUAGGACCCCCAAAUUCUUUUUAGUGAUGUGGUCUGAGCUUUAGCGCAAACUAUCA